AAACUGGCAAGUUUUGCCUUAUAAGAUGGCUCCAGCCCCAGGAACAAUGAGGUCAGCUCCUAGGAUGGAAAAACAGCUUCUGGAGAAGGGUCUAGUAAAGUCGCUGAAUCUGGCUUCAAAUUCAUGAGUCGUCUGCUUCAACCUCUGGAAUAGCUGGAAUUCAGGUGAGGACAUUCAACUUUUCUCAACCCAUCUGAGGCAUGCUCUAACAGCAUCUUGUGAUUUACUGCUUAAUUAUAACUGUAUCCAUGUCUGCCUGGGCCUGAAAAAGUAUUGGAAUUCUUUUCUUUCUUUGUAACGAAUCAAGCUGCCAUUUUGCCCCAGCACUUAUGGAGAAGCCCGGUUGGCAAGGAACUGUGAGCAACCCCUUAGAGCUAAAAGCAGUGCCUAGCCCACAGUCAUUGAAAAACUGGAUUCCUGGUCUUACAGCAUAAAGGAACUCAAUUCUGCCAACAAUCUGCAUCUGGAAGCUCAUCUACCACUAGUCGGGUCUCCCCAUAUGGAAUUGAGCCCUGGCCCAUAUCAUGAAGGCACCUUUGCAAGGAGUGAGUCUGCUCAUGACCAAUCUCCUCACCCACAGGAUGUGAGGGGCUCCUGCCAUUGUGAUACCAUCCACCAUGUCUUCACCAGAGCCAAGAAGAAGCCAGCAUCAUGCUCUUGGACUUCUAAAACUAUAAGCUAAGUAACCUCUUUUCUUUGUAAAGUACUCAGU
Non-coding RNA from Ictidomys tridecemlineatus (thirteen-lined ground squirrel), 712 nucleotides. NCBI's taxonomy places the organism in Eukaryota, Metazoa, Chordata, Mammalia, Rodentia, Sciuridae. The record is from RefSeq and is a predicted model, not a curated record.